RNAcentral lists this ribosomal RNA (451 nucleotides) under uncultured bacterium. RNAcentral describes it as "SSU rRNA". It matches the Rfam family "Bacterial small subunit ribosomal RNA", at positions 26 to 518 of the family's 1533-position model. The record is from RNAcentral.
AGGAUGAACGCUGGCGGUCUGCUUAACACAUGCAAGUCGAACGGAGUACCUCGGUACUUAGUGGCGGACGGGUGAGUAACGCGUGAGAAUCUGCCCUUAGGUCGGGACAACCAUUGGAAACGAUGGCUAAAUACCGGAUAAGCCGAGAGGUAAAAGAUUAAUUGCCUAGGGAAGAGCUCGCGUCUGAUUAGCUAGUUGGUGAGGUAAAGGCUCACCAAGGCAUCGAUCAGUAGCUGGUCUGAGAGGAUGAUCAGCCACACUGGGACUGAGACACGGCCCAGACUCCUACGGGAGGCAGCAGUGGGGAAUUUUCCGCAAUGGGCGAAAGCCUGACGGAGCAAGACCGCGUGGGGGAAGAAGGCUCUUGGGUUGUAAACCCCUUUUCUCUGGGAAGAACGCAAUGACGGUACCAGAGGAAUCAGCAUCGGCUAACGUCCGUGCCAGCAGCCGC